This 508-nucleotide ribosomal RNA is filed under the name uncultured bacterium. RNAcentral describes it as "partial 16S ribosomal RNA". It matches the Rfam family "Bacterial small subunit ribosomal RNA", at positions 28 to 507 of the family's 1533-position model. The record is from RNAcentral.
GACGAACGCUGGCGGCGUGCCUAAUACAUGCAAGUCGAACGCUUCUUUCCUCCCGAGUGCUUGCACUCAAUUGGAAAGAGGAGUGGCGGACGGGUGAGUAACACGUGGGUAACCUACCCAUCAGAGGGGGAUAACACUUGGAAACAGGUGCUAAUACCGCAUAACAGUUUAUGCCGCAUGGCAUAAGAGUGAAAGGCGCUUUCGGGUGUCGCUGAUGGAUGGACCCGCGGUGCAUUAGCUAGUUGGUGAGGUAACGGCUCACCAAGGCCACGAUGCAUAGCCGACCUGAGAGGGUGAUCGGCCACACUGGGACUGAGACACGGCCCAGGCUCCUACGGGAGGCAGCAGUAGGGAAUCUUCGGCAAUGGACGAAAGUCUGACCGAGCAACGCCGCGUGAGUGAAGAAGGUUUUCGGAUCGUAAAACUCUGUUGUUAGAGAAGAACAAGGACGUUAGUAACUGAACGUCCCCUGACGGUAUCUAACCAGAAAGCCACGGCUAACUACGUG